ACGGAAGCCAGCAGUGAGGAAUAUUGGUCAAUGGGCGGAAGCCUGAACCAGCCAAGUCGCGUGAAGGAAGAAGGUAUUAUGUAUUGUAAACUUCUUUAGACGUAGAGAAAUAAGGGGAUCGUGAUCCCUGAUGCUAGUAUACGUAGAAUAAGGAUCGGCUAACUCCGUGCCAGCAGCCGCGGUAAUACGGAGGAUCCGAGCGUUAUCCGGAUUUAUUGGGUUUAAAGGGUGCGCAGGCGGCUUUUUAAGUCAGUGGUUAAAUCGUGGAGCUUAACUCCCUCCCGCCAUUGAUACUGGAGAGCUUGAUUGCGGUUGAGGUUGGCGGAAUUCGCCGUGUAGCGGUGAAAUGCAUAGAUAUGGCGAAGAACUCCGAUUGCGUAGGCAGCUGACCAAGCCGUAAAUGACGCUCAUGCACGAAAGUGCGGGGAUCGAACAGGAUUAGAUACCCUGGUA
This 453-nucleotide ribosomal RNA is filed under the name uncultured Porphyromonadaceae bacterium. RNAcentral describes it as "partial 16S ribosomal RNA". It matches the Rfam family "Bacterial small subunit ribosomal RNA", at positions 341 to 792 of the family's 1533-position model. Lineage: Bacteria; Pseudomonadati; Bacteroidota; Bacteroidia; Bacteroidales; Porphyromonadaceae. The record is from RNAcentral.